RNAcentral lists this ribosomal RNA (497 nucleotides) under uncultured bacterium. RNAcentral's name for it is "partial 16S ribosomal RNA". It matches the Rfam family "Bacterial small subunit ribosomal RNA", at positions 28 to 507 of the family's 1533-position model. The record is from RNAcentral.
GAUGAACGCUGGCGGCGUGCCUAAUACAUGCAAGUCGAGCGAACGGACGAGAAGCUUGCUUUUCUGAUGUUAGCGGCGGACGGGUGAGUAACACGUGGAUAACCUACCUAUAAGACUGGGAUAACUUCGGGAAACCGGAGCUAAUACCGGAUAAUAUUUUGAACCGCAUGGUUCAAAAGUGAAAGACGGUCUUGCUGUCACUUAUAGAUGGAUCCGCGCUGCAUUAGCUAGUUGGUAAGGUAACGGCUUACCAAGGCAACGAUGCAUAGCCGACCUGAGAGGUUGAUCGGCCACACUGGAACUGAGACACGGUCCAGACUCCUACGGGAGGCAGCAGUAGGGAAUCUUCCGCAAUGGGCGAAAGCCUGACGGAGCAACGCCGCGUGAGUGAUGAAGGUCUUCGGAUCGUAAAACUCUGUUAUUAGGGAAGAACAUAUGUGUAAGUAACUGUGCACAUCUUGACGGUACCUAAUCAGAAAGCCACGGCUAACUACGUG